RNAcentral lists this non-coding RNA (89 nucleotides) under pig gut metagenome. Its description in RNAcentral is "TPP riboswitch (THI element)". It matches the Rfam family "TPP riboswitch aptamer (THI element)", at positions 8 to 91 of the family's 105-position model. From Rfam's summary of the family: Vitamin B(1) in its active form thiamin pyrophosphate (TPP) is an essential coenzyme that is synthesised by coupling of pyrimidine and thiazole moieties in bacteria. The record is from RNAcentral.
UGCUAGGGGUGCCUUUGGGGCUGAGAGAUGUCUUGACAUCGACCCUUAUUACUUGAACCGGGUAAUACCGGCGUAAGGAAGCUUAGUUU